Neopelma chrysocephalum (saffron-crested tyrant-manakin) is the source of this 405-nucleotide long non-coding RNA. RefSeq lists it as uncharacterized. The transcript has 3 exons. The record is from RefSeq and is a predicted model, not a curated record. Lineage: Eukaryota; Metazoa; Chordata; Aves; Passeriformes; Pipridae.
CUUCUCCCUUCAGGCACUUCUUGAUCCUUCCCACCCCACGCAGAUUCCGGAGUUCCAGUGGAUUGCCGGCUAUCCCCUGGGUUUUUACUGAAAUUUGGAGAAGAACUUUGUGAAGAAUAACUGACCUGAAGACAAAGGAGACUUCAGAGAAGGCUGGAAGACAAAGCGCAUUUUGAAAGUGGAUUCUGAUAGAAAAUCCCUGAAGGCAACCAGCCCAAAAGGUGCUCUACAGAACAGUUAUUUAUAGAGUCAAGCUCCAAGAAAUGCCCUGUAUCACAAACUUUUGUUUCCUACCUGAGAAAAGAGGUUGCCCUUCCAAAAUGAAAAUGUAACUAUAACGUUCUGAGCUUUAACUGUGGAACAGAAAAUGAUUCAUUUACAAUUAGUCCCAGCAAAUACAGUUGC